Long non-coding RNA from Chinchilla lanigera (long-tailed chinchilla), 731 nucleotides. RefSeq lists it as uncharacterized. The record is from RefSeq and is a predicted model, not a curated record. The transcript has 3 exons. Lineage: Eukaryota; Metazoa; Chordata; Mammalia; Rodentia; Chinchillidae.
UGGAAGACCGGGAUGGUGCGCGUGCGCGCCUAACGAUGGUCUGCGCGUCAAACGGCUUUGAAGUGCGAGGUGAAAACUCUCCCGUCCGUAGUGUGUCGCUGCGCCGGUGUUCCUGGAUUACGGCGUGUUCCGCGCACACGUGUGUCAUUUGAAAGCGCAGUGGGCUCAACUCGUGUAUGUAGUUCGCAGUCCUGCUGCCAGCAUCGUGGUGGCCGAGGCAGGGCAGGGGCAGCCAAUACGCUCUGGCUGCAGCGUGUCUCGGGGAGGAAUGCAGGAAGCAAGAUGAGACUGGCCUGGGCCGCACACCCUCCCCCGCACCCCACCCUCACCUGCUGAUAGCUCUGCUGCUGAGGGCCAGAGGCAGAGCCAGGUGGCAAACUGAAAUCAGAGUCCUGGAAAAAGGACACAGCCGCUGUAAUCCUCCUGGCUCACCUCCCCCGCCAAGACACGUAACAUGAGUGACCCCGACCAGCGCCUCCAACCCACGAAGCAUCCACGAGCAGGCUGACCGCAUGCCCUGUCUGGGCUGCCUGGGAGCCCGGCUGGUGUCAGUAAGGCUGCCCCUAAGGCCAUCCAGUGGCACCUGCCCGGUCCCAAACUCCACGCCAACACUCCUCCCAGACAGUGCUCAGCUCCCAACUUACGUCUAAAUAAGAGACAAACCUGUCUAAGCCCCCGCCUUCCCAAGUACCAAGGGGAAAAAAAGAAUUAAAACAAAGGCUCACUUUUGG